Molecule: ribosomal RNA, 440 nt
Filed under: uncultured bacterium
Lineage: Bacteria
Description: partial 16S ribosomal RNA
Rfam family: Bacterial small subunit ribosomal RNA
Source: RNAcentral
GACGAACGCUGGCGGCGUGCCUAAUGCAUGCAAGUCGCACGCGGCACCUUCGGGUGCUGAGUGGCGAACGGCUGAGGAACACGUGGGGACCUGUCCGGGAGUGGGGGACAACACCGCGAAAGCGGUGCUAAUCCCGCAUACGCUCUGAGGAGGAAAGCCGAAAGGCGCUCCCGGGUGGCCCUGCGGCCCAUCAGGUUGUUGGUGGGGUAACGGCCUACCAAGCCAAUGACGGGUCGCUGGUCUGUGAGGACGACCAGCCAGACUGGGACUGGGACACGGCCCAGACUCCUACGGGAGGCAGCAGCAAGGAAUUUUCGGCAAUGGGCGCAAGCCUGACCGAGCAACGCCGCGUGCAGGAAGACGGCCUUCGGGUUGUAAACUGCUUUUGCUAGGAAUGAUAACAGACAGUACCUGGCGAAUCAGCCCCGGCUAACUCUGUG